CCUACGGGAGGCAGCAGUGGGGAAUAUUGGGCAAUGGGGGGAACUCUGAUCCAGCGACGCCGCGUGAGUGAUGAAGUAUUUCGGUAUGUAAAGCUCUAUCAGCAGGGAAGAAAGCAAUGACGGUACCUGACUAAGAAGCCUCGGCUAACUACGGGCCAGCAGCCGCGGUAAUACGUAGGGGGCAAGCGUUAUCCGGAUUUACUGGGUGUAAAGGGAGCGUAGGGGGUGAAGCAAGUUGGAAGUGAAAGGCGGGGGCCCAACCCCCGCACUGCUUUGGAAACUGUAUGGCUGGAGUGCAGGAGAGGUAAGUGGAAUUCCUAGUGUAGCGGUGAAAUGCGUAGAUAUUAGGAGGAACACCAGGGGCGAAGGCGGCUUACUGGACUGUAACUGACGUUGAGGCUCGAAAGCGUGGGGAGCAAACAGGAUUAGAUACCCUGGUAGUC
RNAcentral lists this ribosomal RNA (443 nucleotides) under uncultured bacterium. RNAcentral's name for it is "partial 16S ribosomal RNA". It matches the Rfam family "Bacterial small subunit ribosomal RNA", at positions 338 to 795 of the family's 1533-position model. The record is from RNAcentral.